Molecule: ribosomal RNA, 446 nt
Filed under: uncultured bacterium
Lineage: Bacteria
Description: bacterial SSU rRNA
Rfam family: Bacterial small subunit ribosomal RNA
Source: RNAcentral
GUCUAGAGGCUUCGGCAAUGGGGGAAACCCUGACCGAGCGACGCCGCGUGCGGGACGAAGGUCUUACGGCUGUAAACCGCUGUCGAUGGGGAAGAAUACCCGGAUGGCGAAUCCGGGGGCGACGGUACCCAUGAAGGAAGCCCCGGCUAACUCCGUGCCAGCAGCCGCGGUAAUACGGAGGGGGCGAACGUUGUUCGGAAUUACUGGGCGUAAAGGGUGCGUAGGCGGUUCGAUAAGUCGGAUGUGAAAUCCCGCGGCUCAACCGCGGAACUGCAUUGGAAACUGUCGAGCUCGAGGGUGGGAGAGGCCGGUGGAAUUCCUGGUGUAGCGGUGGAAUGCGUAGAUAUCAGGAAGAACACUCGUGGCGAAGGCGGCCGGCUGGCCCAUUUCUGACGCUGAAGCACGAAAGCCAGGGGAGCAAACGGGAUUAGAAACCCUAGUAGUCC